UACGUAGGGGGCGAGCGUUGUCCGGAGUUACUGGGCGUAAAGCGCACGUAGGCGGACCAUCAAGUUGGGGGUGAAAUCCCGGGGCUCAACCCCGGAACUGCCUUCAAAACUGUUGGUCUGGAGGUCGAGAGAGGUGAGUGGAAUUCCGAGUGUAGAGGUGAAAUUCGUAGAUAUUCGGAGGAACACCAGUGGCGAAGGCGGCUCACUGGCUCGAUACUGACGCUGAGGUGCGAAAGCGUGGGGAGCAAACAGG
Molecule: ribosomal RNA, 253 nt
Filed under: uncultured bacterium
Lineage: Bacteria
Description: partial 16S ribosomal RNA
Rfam family: Bacterial small subunit ribosomal RNA
Source: RNAcentral